AUCUAUGUGGUAUUCCAUGGUUGUUUUGGGAGUUGGCGUAAGUUGUCAUGGCAUGUGUAGAUGCCUUCUUCGAUAAAGAUGUGUAGAUUCCUGGGUGCCUGGACAAUAGAAAAGGAGAGAUUGCAUUGUUGUCCCCCGGUUCUGUUUUGAUUGAUGUGAGCACAUGGAGGAUUUUUGCAGGUUAUUGACCUUGUGUUCACAGCCUAUCUGUUCGGCGGACCAAGCAGUUUGAGAGGUAGGAUAUGGGAUACCAAUCAGUUGUGAUGGCAUAAGAGCCAAUUGGACAUCAAGGUAUUGAAAAUCAGGGUGAAGCUUCGGCACUGUCCACAUCUUCCUAUCUCUACGCGCUCUCCCAAGGAACUCACCAUGCCCUUAUAGAAGGUGACACGCUACAAGAGUAUUGGAUAUUUUGUUGUUCCUGAGUUCAUUGUAUAUGUACCAAAAGUUUGAAAGGGUCAGCUAUUUUCUGUUUCCUCUUUGCACAUGUACAUGAAUACUUCUCAUUAUGUGUGUAUAUUAGUAUAUAGUACUACCUAGCCAUGUUCAUGUUUCUGUAACAGUAGCAUCUUUUUUUGGUGGGAUAGUAACAUAACAUGUAUUCUUAUACAAUGCUAAGCUGCGAGGAUAGCCACAAUUAUUUACUUUUGUAUGAGCAAAAUAAAUGUAGUUUGUUGUUUACUGAUCUUAA
This is a long non-coding RNA of Lolium rigidum, 688 nucleotides long. RefSeq lists it as uncharacterized. NCBI's taxonomy places the organism in Eukaryota, Viridiplantae, Streptophyta, Magnoliopsida, Poales, Poaceae. The record is from RefSeq and is a predicted model, not a curated record. The transcript is spliced from 3 exons.